CUACGAGUACAAACUUAAAAUUUAAAAGACUUGACGGUACCCCACACCAACCUAGAGGAGCCUGUCCAAUCAACCGAUACCCCACGAUCAACCCAACAUACUCUAGCCCCACAGUCUAUAUACCGCCGUCGCCAGCUUACCUUGCAAAAGAAACAAAGUGAGCACAACAAGCCCCCCCCCCC
RNAcentral lists this ribosomal RNA (182 nucleotides) under Erythrolamprus miliaris (military ground snake). Its description in RNAcentral is "partial 12S ribosomal RNA". Lineage: Eukaryota; Metazoa; Chordata; Lepidosauria; Squamata; Dipsadidae. The record is from RNAcentral.